This 456-nucleotide ribosomal RNA is filed under the name uncultured bacterium. RNAcentral's name for it is "bacterial SSU rRNA". It matches the Rfam family "Bacterial small subunit ribosomal RNA", at positions 70 to 518 of the family's 1533-position model. The record is from RNAcentral.
UGACGAUAGCUUGCUAUUGUUGAUGGCGACCGGCGCACGGGUGAGUAACGCGUAUCCAACCUUCCCUAUAGUAGAGGAUAGCCCGGCGAAAGUCGGAUUAAUACUCUAUGUUUUCCAAUGCAGACAUCUAAGUUGGAACAAAGGUUUACCGCUAUAGGAUGGGGAUGCGUCUGAUUAGAUUGUAGGCGGGGUAACGGCCCACCUAGUCGACGAUCAGUAGGGGUUCUGAGAGGAAGGUCCCCCCACAUUGGAACUGAGACACGGUCCAAACUCCUACGGGAGGCAGCAGUGAGGAAUAUUGGUCAAUGGGCGAGAGCCUGAACCAGCCCAAGUAGCGUGCAGGAUGACGGCCCUAUGGGUUGUAAACUGCUUUUACCGGGGGAUAAAGUGAGGGACGUGUCCCUUUUUGUAGGUACCCGAUGAAUAAGGACCGGCUAAUUCCGUGCCAGCCGCGGC